This 261-nucleotide ribosomal RNA is filed under the name uncultured prokaryote. RNAcentral's name for it is "partial 16S ribosomal RNA". It matches the Rfam family "Bacterial small subunit ribosomal RNA", at positions 524 to 784 of the family's 1533-position model. The record is from RNAcentral.
UACGUAGGUGGCAAGCGUUGUCCGGAUUUAUUGGGCGUAAAGCGAGCGCAGGCGGUUCCUUAAGUCUGAUGUGAAAGACCACGGCUCAACCGUGGAAGGUCAUUGGAAACUGGGGAACUUGAGUGCAGAAGAGGGGAGUGGAAUUCCAUGUGUAGCGGUGAAAUGCGUAGAUAUAUGGAGGAACACCAGUGGCGAAGGCGACUCUCUGGUCUGUAACUGACGCUGAGGCUCGAAAGCGUGGGGAGCAAACAGGAUUAGAUA